AUGUCAAUCAAAAGCAAAAGAGUAUGCUUUAGUCCUAAUGUCAAUGACAUACCAACAAUCUUCCUCAAGAAAAGAGAUUUCAAAUUCACAACAGAAUCAAAAUUAUCACCGCCACUGAAAUUCUUAGUGCAGCUAGGAACAAAGGUUGCAAGUUCUAUAAAAAGUGUUUCCAUGAAAAGAACAUCUUCUAGGAAGGUUUCUUCUUCAUCUACUUUGGUAAGGUCACGUUCAAUUUCUGACCUUACAGAUUCUCAUAGAGCUGAAACUGUUGAAGAUUGUAUUGAGUUUUUGCAUUCUUCUUCAUCUAGGGAGAGACCAAGUUUUAGUUGA
Non-coding RNA from Vicia faba (fava bean), 330 nucleotides. The record is from the annotation of a GenBank genome assembly. Lineage: Eukaryota; Viridiplantae; Streptophyta; Magnoliopsida; Fabales; Fabaceae.